UGCAUUAUUAUUCAGUUAUCAUGUCUUGUUCGUCUUGUGUUAUGGCUGAGUAGUCGGCUAGCUUGUCUAGGGUUCUAGGGUGUUAAUCGCGAAGCUAAACAUAAAUAAGAAACUCUUUUGUUUCUUCGUUCAUUCUAGUUCUUAAUGCUAGUCCUAACCUGUUCACUUACUGCUAGAUCUUAGGCUCAAUCACUCACUAACCGUGUAGUAGUUUACCUGAUAUCGAAUGAAUGAGCUGAGCAUCUCUAGUCAUCGAAAGUAGAUACUAGAGUGUUCAAUGAACCCAUCGGACUUGAUCUCUAUAGCUUGCGAUCGACCCUUGAUCCAAACGAUAGUUUAGGCGUCAAGGCCGAACCGCAAAGGGAAUAGCGCCACGACAGUGGGUUAUUCUACUAAAAGUGAUCCGUGUUCUAGAUCAUUUCUCAACGAGCUUGAAUAAAUGUUUGGCUAAGUUUUAACACCCGAU
This 466-nucleotide long non-coding RNA is filed under the name Brassica napus (rape). Its description in RNAcentral is "long non-coding RNA (BNAP_LNC018647)". Lineage: Eukaryota; Viridiplantae; Streptophyta; Magnoliopsida; Brassicales; Brassicaceae. The record is from RNAcentral.